UAGGGGCAUGGUUUAUUGAAC
This 21-nucleotide non-coding RNA is filed under the name Caenorhabditis elegans. The record is from RNAcentral. Lineage: Eukaryota; Metazoa; Nematoda; Chromadorea; Rhabditida; Rhabditidae.